RNAcentral lists this ribosomal RNA (467 nucleotides) under uncultured bacterium. RNAcentral's name for it is "partial 16S ribosomal RNA". It matches the Rfam family "Bacterial small subunit ribosomal RNA", at positions 28 to 506 of the family's 1533-position model. The record is from RNAcentral.
GACGAACGCUGGCGGCGUGCUUAACACAUGCAAGUCGAACGGAAAGGUCCUGCUUUUGUGGGGUGCUCGAGUGGCGAACGGGUGAGUAACACGUGAGUAACCUGCCCUUGACUUUGGGAUAACUUCAGGAAACUGGGGCUAAUACCGGAUAGGAGCUCCUGCUGCAUGGUGGGGGUUGGAAAGUUUCGGCGGUUGGGGAUGGACUCGCGGCUUAUCAGCUUGUUGGUGGGGUAGUGGCUUACCAAGGCUUUGACGGGUAGCCGGCCUGAGAGGGUGACCGGCCACAUUGGGACUGAGAUACGGCCCAGACUCCUACGGGAGGCAGCAGUGGGGAAUAUUGCACAAUGGGCGGAAGCCUGAUGCAGCAACGCCGCGUGCGGGAUGACGGCCUUCGGGUUGUAAACCGCUUUCGCCUGUGACGAAGCGUGAGUGACGGUAAUGGGUAAAGAAGCACCGGCUAACUACGU